GCAGAACGCGAAGAACCUUACCUACUCUUGACAUCCAGAGAACUUAGCAGAGAUGCUUUGGUGCCUUCGGGAACUCUGAGACAGGUGCUGCAUGGCUGUCGUCAGCUCGUGUUGUGAAAUGUUGGGUUAAGUCCCGCAACGAGCGCAACCCUUAUCCUUUGUUGCCAGCGGUUCGGCCGGGAACUCAAAGGAGACUGCCAGUGAUAAACUGGAGGAAGGUGGGGAUGACGUCAAGUCAUCAUGGCCCUUACGAGUAGGGCUACACACGUGCUACAAUGGCGUAUACAAAGAGAAGCGACCUCGCGAGAGCAAGCGGACCUCAUAAAGUACGUCGUAGUCCGGAUUGGAGUCUGCAACUCGACUCCAUGAAGUCGGAAUCGCUAGUAAUCGUAGAUCAGAAUGCUAGUGAU
This 410-nucleotide ribosomal RNA is filed under the name uncultured bacterium. RNAcentral describes it as "bacterial SSU rRNA". It matches the Rfam family "Bacterial small subunit ribosomal RNA", at positions 954 to 1365 of the family's 1533-position model. The record is from RNAcentral.